This is a small nuclear RNA of Manis javanica (Malayan pangolin), 164 nucleotides long. RefSeq annotates it as U1 spliceosomal RNA. Lineage: Eukaryota; Metazoa; Chordata; Mammalia; Pholidota; Manidae. The record is from RefSeq and is a predicted model, not a curated record.
UGUCCCACCUGGCAGGGGAAAUACCAUGAUCACGAAGGUGGUUUUCCCAGGGCGAGGUUUAUCCAUUGCAUUCUGGUUGUGCUGACCCCUGCAAUUUCCCCAAAUGUGGAAAACUUGACUGCAUCAUUUCUAGUAGUGAGGGACUGCAUUCGCGCUUUCCCCUU